UCUCAUGGAGGAACGAAAUCUCCAUGUCCACAAUCAAUGGAUACCACUUCAUUCCACAUCACAAGAUGUCCUCAAGACAGAAAAGAAAAGGAAGAUAGAUCUAAAACUUUUAAAUGCGAAGAUCAAAAACAAAACUGCACAACAGCUGGCCAAUAUAAAUACCACUGUGUAUUAAAUUCAAAAGGUGAUGGAUACAUUGAACUGUGUGCACCAGAAGUGGAAAUAAUUGGUAGACGCUGCACUGAAUUUACGACCGGAGGUAAAUUCCUCCAAGAACAUUUAGAGAGUAAAUGUGCAACGUGUCCAUUCAAAUACAAGUCAUCUGAAUGUUAUAAAUACAAUGAAUGCUACAAACUAGAAUUCCCGAGAACUCUUUCAAGUAUAAUAAAAGAGAA
Long non-coding RNA from Saccostrea echinata, 395 nucleotides. RefSeq lists it as uncharacterized. NCBI's taxonomy places the organism in Eukaryota, Metazoa, Mollusca, Bivalvia, Ostreida, Ostreidae. The transcript has 4 exons. The record is from RefSeq and is a predicted model, not a curated record.